GGAGAGGUGCAAGAGUGGUUUAUUUGGCUACCCUGGAAAGGUAGUGUACCUGCAAGGGUACCGUGGGUUCGAAUCCCACCCUCUCCG
RNAcentral lists this transfer RNA (87 nucleotides) under Ignavibacteriota bacterium. RNAcentral describes it as "Ignavibacteriae bacterium (groundwater metagenome) tRNA-Ser". It matches the Rfam family "tRNA". Rfam says of the family: Transfer RNA (tRNA) molecules are approximately 80 nucleotides in length. Lineage: Bacteria; Pseudomonadati; Ignavibacteriota. The record is from RNAcentral.